GCCAGCAGAGGGCGCGCGCCCUCCACUCGGCGCUCCGCAGCCCCGCGAGUUCCCACAGGGCCUCGCGCGCCAUGGGCUGUGCGAAGAGCAAAGAGACGUGUUGGGCUGCCCGGCGGCAGCAGGAGGCCGUGGGCCCGAGCUGCAGGGCCCACCGUUCCUCAGAUGAAGAAACUGAGGCACAAAGAGGUUAUGAAACUUGCCCAAAGUCCCACACUUGGUGAUCCUGUUUGAGCCAAGGUCUGAGAACGCGGAGGUGAAGUUUUGGGCCAGAGUCAAGCCCUUUUCCUGGGCAGAGGCUCCUGUCCUCGGCGAUGGGGCUGAGGCUUGCAUGGAGGUAGCU
Molecule: long non-coding RNA, 340 nt
Filed under: Equus caballus (horse)
Lineage: Eukaryota; Metazoa; Chordata; Mammalia; Perissodactyla; Equidae
Description: lncRNA (ENSECAG00000049386.1)
Source: RNAcentral